AUACAAUGAUGUGGACACCUCCUUUAGAGCUCCUUGUAUCUCUCACAAGCCUCAUAUAGUGAUUCUCCUUCUUGUUGUAUAAAGGAUGUGAUCUCUCCUCUCAGCUU
Abrus precatorius (Indian licorice) is the source of this 107-nucleotide small nucleolar RNA. Lineage: Eukaryota; Viridiplantae; Streptophyta; Magnoliopsida; Fabales; Fabaceae. The record is from RefSeq and is a predicted model, not a curated record.